RNAcentral lists this ribosomal RNA (253 nucleotides) under uncultured bacterium. RNAcentral's name for it is "partial 16S ribosomal RNA". It matches the Rfam family "Bacterial small subunit ribosomal RNA", at positions 524 to 776 of the family's 1533-position model. The record is from RNAcentral.
UACGAGGGGUGCAAGCGUUAUUCGGAAUUAUUGGGCGUAAAGGGUGUGUAGACGGCAUGCUAAGUCAACUGUUUAAUUCUCCGGCCUAACCGGAGGUCAGCAGUAGAAACUGGCGUGCUAGAGGGUGGAAGAGAGAAGUGGAAUUCUCGGAGUAGCGGUAAAAUGCGUAGAUCUCGAGAGGAACACCAAUGGCGAAAGCAGCUUCUUGGUCCACAUCUGACGUUGAGACACGAAAGCGUGGGGAGCAAACAGG